RNAcentral lists this ribosomal RNA (458 nucleotides) under Salmonella enterica subsp. enterica serovar Newport. Its description in RNAcentral is "partial 23S ribosomal RNA". It matches the Rfam family "Bacterial large subunit ribosomal RNA", at positions 137 to 631 of the family's 2925-position model. Lineage: Bacteria; Pseudomonadati; Pseudomonadota; Gammaproteobacteria; Enterobacterales; Enterobacteriaceae. The record is from RNAcentral.
GAUUCGUCACACUAUCAUUAACUGAAUCCAUAGGUUAAUGAGGCGAACCGGGGGAACUGAAACAUCUAAGUACCCCGAGGAAAAGAAAUCAACCGAGAUUCCCCCAGUAGCGGCGAGCGAACGGGGAGGAGCCCAGAGCCUGAAUCAGCAUGUGUGUUAGUGGAAGCGUCUGGAAAGGCGCGCGAUACAGGGUGACAGCCCCGUACACAAAAGCGCAUGUGCUGUGAGCUCGAUGAGUAGGGCGGGACACGUGGUAUCCUGUCUGAAUAUGGGGGGACCAUCCUCCAAGGCUAAAUACUCCUGACUGACCGAUAGUGAACCAGUACCGUGAGGGAAAGGCGAAAAGAACCCCGGCGAGGGGAGUGAAAAAGAACCUGAAACCGUGUACGUACAAGCAGUGGGAGCACAGGUUUACCUGUGUGACUGCGUACCUUUUGUAUAAUGGGUCAGCGACUUAU